CUGAUGGCGAGUGGCGAACGGGUGAGUAAUGCAUCGGAACGUGCCCAAUCGUGGGGGAUAACGCAGCGAAAGCUGUGCUAAUACCGCAUACGAUCUACGGAUGAAAGCGGGGGACCUUCGGGCCUCGCGCGAUUGGAGCGGCCGAUAUCUGAUUAGGUAGUUGGUAGGGUAAAGGCCUACCAAGCCGACGAUCAGUAGCUGGUCUGAGAGGGCGACCGGCCACACUGGGACUGAGACACGGCCCAGACUCC
RNAcentral lists this ribosomal RNA (251 nucleotides) under uncultured bacterium. RNAcentral's name for it is "partial 16S ribosomal RNA". It matches the Rfam family "Bacterial small subunit ribosomal RNA", at positions 85 to 339 of the family's 1533-position model. The record is from RNAcentral.